Molecule: ribosomal RNA, 219 nt
Filed under: uncultured bacterium
Lineage: Bacteria
Description: partial 16S ribosomal RNA
Rfam family: Bacterial small subunit ribosomal RNA
Source: RNAcentral
GCUCCCUCCGCGCCGACUCUAGAUCUACGGAGGGCAGCAGUGGGGAAUAUUGGACAAUGGGCGCAAGCCUGAUCCAGCAAUGCCGCGUGUGUGAAGAAGGCCUUCGGGUUGUAAAGCACUUUUAUCGGGAGCGAAAUACUAUCGGCUAAUAACCGGUGGGGCUGACGGUACCCGAGGAAUAAGCACCGGCUAACUUCGUGCCAGCCGCCGCGGUAAUAC